Molecule: long non-coding RNA, 477 nt
Filed under: Parus major (Great Tit)
Lineage: Eukaryota; Metazoa; Chordata; Aves; Passeriformes; Paridae
Description: lncRNA (ENSPMJG00000013725.1)
Source: RNAcentral
ACCCUGUCUUCAGAGAAAGAAGAUGAUGUAUAUUCCUUAAAUAACUUUGGGACAUCUCACUCAGCAAAAUGCUACCAUUAUCUUUUACUGUUUAAUCACUUAAAUUUGAAAAUUACUUAGAGAAGUGCCACUGGCAAAUCACUGCUGCUCAGUGUGCUGGCUUUCUCACCAUGUGUUGCUCACAGUGGUAAAGUGUGCAUUAAACUACGAUUUCUUCCAUCUAUUACAGUAUCUGUGGUAUUUCUCAGACUGGAAAGGAAGUAAAACCUCAUGAAGAGCUGGCAGAAGACAUUCUAACUAUAGGUGAGUAUUCCCAGCAUUAUGUGACUGAUGAACUAAAAAUAUUGUGUGAUUCCUUCAUUAACACUGCAGUGAACACAGCUUAGCAUGUUUCCAAGCAAGUUGUCAAUGUUAAUAGUCCAGCUAGAAUAUUCCAUGUUUAUAGAAACGUAGCGAGCUAGGCAACCCACUCCUAUC